This is a non-coding RNA of Trichonephila inaurata madagascariensis, 76 nucleotides long. NCBI's taxonomy places the organism in Eukaryota, Metazoa, Arthropoda, Arachnida, Araneae, Nephilidae. The record is from the annotation of a GenBank genome assembly.
GCCCGGCUGGCUCAGUCGGUAGAAGGCACGAGACUCUUAAUCUCGGGUCGUGGGUUUCGGGAAACCCCGUUGGGCA